This is a non-coding RNA of Schistosoma rodhaini, 46 nucleotides long. NCBI's taxonomy places the organism in Eukaryota, Metazoa, Platyhelminthes, Trematoda, Strigeidida, Schistosomatidae. The record is from Rfam.
GCACUGCCGAGGAGUCCCACAAUAGGACAAAACGACCGUCCAGUGC